GCAAGAGAGCGAUCUGGAGGCAAAACUCUAAAAAACAAUCUCAGUUCAGAUUGCAGGCUGCAACUCGCCUGCAUGAAGUCGGAAUUGCUAGUAAUCGUAGGUCAGCAUACUACGGUGAAUACGUUCCCGGGCCUUGUACACACCGCCCGUCAAACCAUGAGAGUUGGCAACACCCGAAGUCGGUAGUCUAACCGCAAGGAGGACGCCGCCGAAGGUGGGGUUGAUGAUUAGGGUUAAGUCGUAACAAGGUAGC
RNAcentral lists this ribosomal RNA (253 nucleotides) under uncultured bacterium. RNAcentral describes it as "partial 16S ribosomal RNA". It matches the Rfam family "Bacterial small subunit ribosomal RNA", at positions 1249 to 1500 of the family's 1533-position model. The record is from RNAcentral.